UACGAACUGUGCGAACGUUAUUCGGAAUCACUGGGCUUAAAGGGUGCGUAGGCGGCUUCGUAAGUCAGGUGUGAAAUCUCCCGGCUCAACCGGGAAAUGGCGCUUGAAACUGCGAGGCUCGAGUGAGGUAGGGGUGUGUGGAACUUCCGGUGGAGCGGUGAAAUGUGUAGAUAUCGGAAGGAACGCCUGUGGCGAAAGCGACACACUGGGCCUUGUCUGACGCUGAGGCACGAAAGCCAGGGGAGCGAACGGG
RNAcentral lists this ribosomal RNA (253 nucleotides) under uncultured prokaryote. Its description in RNAcentral is "partial 16S ribosomal RNA". It matches the Rfam family "Bacterial small subunit ribosomal RNA", at positions 524 to 776 of the family's 1533-position model. The record is from RNAcentral.